CACCGCGGUUAAACGAGAGGCCCAAGUUGAUGGAUGCCGGCGUAAAGCGUGGUUAAAAAACAAAAAUACUAAGACCAAAUACUUUUAGCACUGUUAUACGUAUGCAAAAGCUAGAAGCCCAACUACGAAAGUGGUCUUACCUGCCCUGAACCCACGAAAGCUGCGAUA
Molecule: ribosomal RNA, 168 nt
Filed under: Paraploactis kagoshimensis (phantom velvetfish)
Lineage: Eukaryota; Metazoa; Chordata; Actinopteri; Perciformes; Aploactinidae
Description: partial 12S rRNA
Source: RNAcentral